Molecule: long non-coding RNA, 585 nt
Organism: Capra hircus (goat)
Lineage: Eukaryota; Metazoa; Chordata; Mammalia; Artiodactyla; Bovidae
Exons: 3
Source: RefSeq, a predicted model, not a curated record
GGGUGGGAGCGGCGGCUGAGGAGUUAGGGGAAGGGGCUGAGAGGAUGGCCUGAGGGAGGGCUAUGGAGAAAGGCUCUGAAACGGCUUCCUUCUGGGCAAACGAGUUGGAAGAAGAUGGUGCCCUCCUUGCGCGGGUCGGGGCCAGGUGCAGGGAGGCAGCAGAGGGGCACGCGUCCAGAGUGAGGGCACCAGAGCCCGCCCUAGACCGGGAGCUCCCGCGGAAAUUACUCCGGGAACUACAUCAUAACGGGAGUUUCACCAGAGGACUUUUGUAUAUGGGCUGUGGCAGCAGACCAGUUACACCAUAGUACUUGUGGUCUGGAAGUGAACCCAUGACAUCUCUGCAGUAUGUCUAUAUUCCCUGAACCCUUGUAUGUGCAGUCUCCACCGUUAUCGACAUCCCUCACGAGAACAGCACAGUUGUUACAAAGGAUACGCCUACACUGAGACGUCAUCAUCCCCCAAAGCCCAAAGUUUACCUCGGGGUUCACUCAGGGUUCACAUUCUGUGGAUUUGGACAGAUGCAUCAUAAUGCGAGGUUGAGAUGGUUGGGUGGCAUCACCGACUGGAUGGACAUGAGUUUGA